UACGUAGGGUGCGAGCGUUAAUCGGAAUUACUGGGCGUAAAGCGUGCGCAGGCGGUUGUGUAAGACAGGCGUGAAAUCCCCGGGCUCAACCUGGGAACUGCGCUUGUGACUGCACAGCUAGAGUACGGCAGAGGGGGGUGGAAUUCCACGUGUAGCAGUGAAAUGCGUAGAGAUGUGGAGGAACACCGAUGGCGAAGGCAGCCCCCUGGGCCGAUACUGACGCUCAUGCACGAAAGCGUGGGUAGCAAACAGGAUUAGAUACCCUGGUAGUCCACGCCCUAAACGAUGUCAACUAGGUGUUGGGUGGGUAAAACCAUUUAGUACCGUAGCUAACGCGUGAAGUUGACCGCCUGGGGAGUACGGCCGCAAGGUUAAAACUCAAAGGAAUUGACGGGGACCCGCACAAGCGGUGGAUGAUGUGGAUUAAUUCGAUGCAACGCGAAAAACCUUACCUACCCUUGACAUGUCCAGAAGCCCGGAGAGAUUUGGGUGUGCCCGAAAGGGAACUGGAACACAGGUGCUGCAUGGCUGUCGUCAGCUCGUGUCGUGAGAUGUUGGGUUAAGUCCCGCAACGAGCGCAACCCUUGUCGUUAAUUGCCAUCAUUUAGUUGGGCACUUUAACGAGACUGCCGGUGACAAACCGGAGGAAGGUGGGGAUGACGUCAAGUCCUCAUGGCCCUUAUGGGUAGGGCUUCACACGUCAUACAAUGGUCGGUACAGAGGGUUGCCAAGCCGCGAGGUGGAGCCAAUCCCAGAAAGCCGAUCGUAGUCCGGAUUGCAGGCUGCAACUCGCCUGCAUGAAGUCGGAAUCGCUAGUAAUCGCGGAUCAGCAUGUCGCGGUGAAUACGUUCCCGGGUCU
This 859-nucleotide ribosomal RNA is filed under the name uncultured bacterium. Its description in RNAcentral is "SSU rRNA". It matches the Rfam family "Bacterial small subunit ribosomal RNA", at positions 524 to 1381 of the family's 1533-position model. The record is from RNAcentral.